GUGCUUGCUUUAGCAGCACAUAUACUAAAAUUGGAAUGAUAUAGAGAAGAUUAGCAUGGCCCCUGUGUAAGUGUGCUUUUUUCUAAAUGGAACAUCAAACAAGUUGA
Molecule: small nuclear RNA, 107 nt
Organism: Cricetulus griseus (Chinese hamster)
Lineage: Eukaryota; Metazoa; Chordata; Mammalia; Rodentia; Cricetidae
Source: Ensembl